UACAGAGACUGCAAGCGUUAUUCGGAUUCACUGGGCGUAAAGGGCGCGCAGGCGGCCGUGUGUGUCGGGCGUGAAAGCCCGGGGCUUAACCCCGGAAUUGCACCCAAAACUACAUGGCUAGAGCAUUGGAGAGGGUAGCAGAAUUCAUGGUGUAGCAGUGAAAUGCGUAGAUAUCAUGAGGAAUACCAGAGGCGAAGGCGGCUACCUGGACAAUUGCUGACGCUCAGGCACGAAAGCGUGGGGAGCAAAAGGG
RNAcentral lists this ribosomal RNA (253 nucleotides) under uncultured bacterium. RNAcentral's name for it is "partial 16S ribosomal RNA". It matches the Rfam family "Bacterial small subunit ribosomal RNA", at positions 524 to 776 of the family's 1533-position model. The record is from RNAcentral.